Molecule: ribosomal RNA, 333 nt
Filed under: uncultured bacterium
Lineage: Bacteria
Description: bacterial SSU rRNA
Rfam family: Bacterial small subunit ribosomal RNA
Source: RNAcentral
AGAGUUUGAUUCUGGCUCAGGACGAACGCUGGCGGCGCGCCUAACACAUGCAAGUCGAACGGAGCUGAGAGAAGCUUGCUUUUCUCAGCUUAGUGGCGAACGGGUGAGUAACGCGUGAGUAACCUGCCCUGGAGUGGGGGACAACAGUUGGAAACGACUGCUAAUACCGCAUAAGCCCACGAUCCGGCAUCGGAUUGAGGGAAAAGGAUUUAUUCGCUUCAGGAUGGACUCGCGUCCAAUUAGCUAGUUGGUGAGGUAACGGCCCACCAAGGCGACGAUUGGUAGCCGGACUGAGAGGUUGAACGGCCACAUUGGGACUGAGACACGGCCCAG